UACGAAGGGGGCUAGCGUUGCUCGGAAUCACUGGGCGUAAAGGGUGCGUAGGCGGGUUUUUAAGUCAGGGGUGAAAUCCUGGAGCUCAACUCCAGAACUGCCUUUGAUACUGAAGAGCUUGAGUUCGGGAGAGGUGAGUGGAACUGCGGGUGUAGAGGUGAAAUUCGUAGAUAUUCGCAAGAACACCAGUGGCGAAGGCGGCUCACUGGCCCGAUACUGACGCUGAGGCACGAAAGCGUGGGGAGCAAACAGG
Molecule: ribosomal RNA, 253 nt
Filed under: uncultured bacterium
Lineage: Bacteria
Description: partial 16S ribosomal RNA
Rfam family: Bacterial small subunit ribosomal RNA
Source: RNAcentral